AAUGAACGUUGGCGGCGUGGAUUAGGCAUGCAAGUCGUGCGAGAAGUUGGUUAGCUUGCUAACCGACGGACAGCGGCGAAAGGGAGAGUAACGCGUGGUUACGUGCCCCGAAGACCGGGAUAGUGUUGGGAAACUGGCAGUAAUACCGGAUAAUAUCUUUGGAUCAAAUGGUGUGAUUCCGCUUUGGGAUCGGACCGCGUACUAUUGGCUUGUUGGUGGGGUAAUGGCCCACCAAGGCUCAGAUGGUUACCGGGUGUGAGAGCAUGGCCCGGCUCACUGGGACUGAGACACUGCCCAGACAUCUACGGAUGGCUGCAGUCGAGAAUCUUCGGCAAUGGACGAAAGUCUGACCGAGCGACGCCGCGUGCGGGAUGAAGGCCCUCGGGUUGUAAACCGCUGUCAGUUAGGAGGAAAUCUAUGAGGGCACUCUCUCAUAGUUGACCGAUUUUCAGAGGAAGGACGGGCUAAGUUCGUG
This 475-nucleotide ribosomal RNA is filed under the name uncultured bacterium. RNAcentral's name for it is "bacterial SSU rRNA". It matches the Rfam family "Bacterial small subunit ribosomal RNA", at positions 29 to 507 of the family's 1533-position model. The record is from RNAcentral.